Molecule: ribosomal RNA, 1063 nt
Filed under: Bacillus sp. (in: firmicutes)
Lineage: Bacteria; Bacillati; Bacillota; Bacilli; Caryophanales; Bacillaceae
Description: bacterial SSU rRNA
Source: RNAcentral
GGUKRAUUCGGCCCACCACCUGRGACUGAGACMCSGCCCCARACUCCUACCGGGARGGCARCAGWARGGGAAUCUUCCGCAAAUGGACGAAAGUCUGACGGAGCAAMCGCCGCGUGAGUGAUGAAAGGUUUUYGGAUCGUAAAGCUCUGUUGUUAGGGAAGAACAAAGUGCGAGAGUAACUGCUCGCACCUUGACGGUACCUAACCAGAAAGCCACGGCUAAUACGUGCCAGCAGCCGCGGUAAUACGUAGGUGGCAAGCGUUGUCCGGAAUUAUUGGGCGUAAAGGGCUCGCAGGCGGUUUCUUAAGUCUGAUGUGAAAGCCCCCGGCUCAACCGGGGAGGGUCAUUGGAAACUGGGAAACUUGAGUGCAGAAGAGGAGAGUGGAAUUCCACGUGUAGCGGUGAAAUGCGUAGAGAUGUGGAGGAACACCAGUGGCGAAGGCGACUCUCUGGUCUGUAACUGACGCUGAGGAGCGAAAGCGUGGGGAGCGAACAGGAUUAGAUACCCUGGUAGUCCACGCCGUAAACGAUGAGUGCUAAGUGUUAGGGGGUUUCCGCCCCUUAGUGCUGCAGCUAACGCAUUAAGCACUCCGCCUGGGGAGUACGGUCGCAAGACUGAAACUCAAAGGAAUUGACGGGGGCCCGCACAAGCGGUGGAGCAUGUGGUUUAAUUCGAAGCAACGCGAAGAACCUUACCAGGUCUUGACAUCCUCUGACAACCCUAGAGAUAGGGCUUUCCCUUCGGGGACAGAGUGACAGGUGGUGCAUGGUUGUCGUCAGCUCGUGUCGUGAGAUGUUGGGUUAAGUCCCGCAACGAGCGCAACCCUUGAUCUUAGUUGCCAGCAUUCAGUUGGGCACUCUAAGGUGACUGCCGGUGACAAACCGGAGGAAGGUGGGGAUGACGUCAAAUCAUCAUGCCCCUUAUGACCUGGGCUACACACGUGCUACAAUGGACAGAACAAAGGGYUGCARGACCGCAAGGUUUAGCCAAUCCCAUAAAUCUGUUYUCUGUUCGGAUCGCAGUCUGCAACUCGACUGCGUGAAGCUGGAAUCGCUAGUAAUC